AAGUAUUUUGAAAGUAUGUUUUAGGAAAUAGCUCAUACAAUUAGAAUAACAUAGCCACAAACAUUAAAGUUAGAAAGGCUGGAGGUUGCAGUGAGGCCAGAUCGUGCCACUGCACUCCAGCCUGGGUGACAGAGCAGAGACUCUGUCUCAAAAAAAAAAAAAUAAAAUAAAGAGAGGCAAGAUGUUAGACCAGGCUGACAGUUGUUCAGCUAGCUCCUUUACCCUUUUCCCUGGUCCCCUUGAAUGGGUAGCUUAGUUAACAUCUGAAGACUUAAUUAGAAUAUUACAACAGACAAGUCUGAAGUUACCUAAAUGAAAUAAAUGAGCUACUUUCGGGGUAGGAUAGUGGGGGAACCACUGUCCUUAAAUGGAUGUCCUUAAGGGAGAAAAUAUCUAGCUCUUAAUUUUAGUCUCUUAGCAGACAGAUAUCCUAGGGAGGUUUUACUACUGUCUGGCAUGUCACUGUCUUGUAAGUCUAACAAAUGAGGAUGUGAGCUCAUGCCCUAGGCAGUGAGACUAAAGGCUGAUGAAAGGGAAUGAUGA
RNAcentral lists this long non-coding RNA (543 nucleotides) under Homo sapiens (human). RNAcentral's name for it is "non-protein coding lnc-TOR3A-2:1". The record is from RNAcentral. Lineage: Eukaryota; Metazoa; Chordata; Mammalia; Primates; Hominidae.